This 253-nucleotide unclassified non-coding RNA is filed under the name uncultured Anaerolineae bacterium. Its description in RNAcentral is "contains 16S-23S intergenic spacer region". It matches the Rfam family "Bacterial small subunit ribosomal RNA", at positions 524 to 776 of the family's 1533-position model. The record is from RNAcentral. Lineage: Bacteria; Bacillati; Chloroflexota; Anaerolineae.
UACGUAGGUGGCGAACGUUAUCCGGAAUUACUGGGCGUAAAGGGUCCGCAGGCGGCUCGGCAAGUCGGGUGUGAAAUCUCGCGGCUCAACUGCGAGGAGCCACUCGAAACUGGUGGGCUGGAAUCUGACAGAGGUCGGUGGAAUUCCCGGUGUAGUGGUGGAAUGCGUAGAGAUCGGGAGGAACGCCAAAGGCGCAGGCAGCCGGCUGGGUCAAGAUUGACGCUGAGGGACGAAAGCGUGGGGAGCGAACAGG